RNAcentral lists this ribosomal RNA (376 nucleotides) under uncultured bacterium. RNAcentral describes it as "bacterial SSU rRNA". It matches the Rfam family "Bacterial small subunit ribosomal RNA", at positions 523 to 898 of the family's 1533-position model. The record is from RNAcentral.
AUACGGAGGGUGCAAGCGUUAAUCGGAAUUACUGGGCGUAAAGCGCACGCAGGCGGUUGAUUAAGUCAGAUGUGAAAUCCCCGAGCUUAACUUGGGAACUGCAUUUGAAACUGGUCAGCUAGAGUCUUGUAGAGGGGGGUAGAAUUCCAGGUGUAGCGGUGAAAUGCGUAGAGAUCUGGAGGAAUACCGGUGGCGAAGGCGGCCCCCUGGACAAAGACUGACGCUCAGGUGCGAAAGCGUGGGGAGCAAACAGGAUUAGAUACCCUGGUAGUCCACGCUGUAAACGAUGUCGACUUGGAGGUUGUGCCCUUGAGGCGUGGCUUCCGGAGCUAACGCGUUAAGUCGACCGCCUGGGGAGUACGGCCGCAAGGUUAAA